This 502-nucleotide ribosomal RNA is filed under the name uncultured bacterium. RNAcentral describes it as "partial 16S ribosomal RNA". It matches the Rfam family "Bacterial small subunit ribosomal RNA", at positions 28 to 507 of the family's 1533-position model. The record is from RNAcentral.
GAUGAAUGCUGGCGGCGUGCCUAACACAUGCAAGUCGAGCGGCAGCGAGUUUUACACUGAAUUCUGGAAGCUUCUGAGUAGUACAGAAGAUUUAUUCAAGAGUUUUGUGUAAAAUGUCGGCGAGCGGCGGACGGCUGAGUAACGCGUAGGAAUUUGCCCCAAAGUGAGGAAUAACUGCCCGAAAGGGUAGCUAAUGCGGCAUAUGGUCUUCGGAUUAAAGCCUUCGGGCGCUGUGGGAGAAGCCUGCGUUGGAUUAGGUAGUUGGUAGGGUAAUAGCCUACCAAGCCGACGAUCCAUAGCUGGUCUGAGAGGAUGAUCAGCCAGACUGGAACUGAGACACAGUCCAGACUCCUACGGGAAGCAGCAGUGAGGAAUCUUCCACAAUGGGCGAAAGCCUGAUGGAGCAACGCCGCGUGAAGGAUGAAGGCCUUCGGGUUGUAAACUUCUUUUAUGAGUGAAGAAUAUGACGGUAACUCAUGAAUAAGCACCGGCUAACUACGUG